GAGAGGUUUUGUUAAAACUCAUCAUUCACUUCCUGACUCCACCAAACAGCUGCUGAGAUGACAACGACACAGGUCAAGAAAUGUCAUCAUCUCAGAGUUCCUCACCUGCUUCCAUCAUGUCCGUCACAAAGAUCCCAGUAGAAGCUGAAUGCAUGAAGGUCCAUUUGUAAAGUAAAAUGAAAACUGAAGGCUCUGCCUCCCAUUCUACUUGUGAAGAUGAUGUCAGAUUUUUUCUAAACCUUUAAAUGUUACAGUGUUUCAAUUUAGUUCAGUUUUAUUUAAACAGUGCACCUCAAGGUGUUUUGAACAUCACUACUGGGCAGUAAUGCAACCUUGGUCUGCUCACCAUCAUGACCCGACACACAGUCCUGGAGAGGAAUUGCAACUCCCGAUAAUAUCGUCCGUGGCUCUUCCCACUGCAGGAAGCAACAGCUUGAUACCAGUUAAAGAUGUAUGGUAUGAUUUAUUAAGGUAUGAUGGAGUGCCUUCUUUCACAUUCAGACAUGGAUUGAUCUUGAGCUAGGCGGAUGCCGGCCCCCAGUCUGCAUAUUGCCUGGUUCAUAGAGUUCAGAGCUAUAAUACAGAGUUCCAAUGUGGAGAGUCUUCAGUCUGUAUCAACCUCAGCACCACCAAAACUGGUCUAUUUCAGACACACAGAUGUUUAAACCUUUGGUCUGUUAAGCUUGGCCUUCAGCACGAACCAAAGGCAGUGAUAAGCACCUGCUUUACACGUGUAGCUGUACAUGGGUCUGCAGCAGAGUCCCUCUGUGCUGGUCCUGGGCUUUCUGUUCAAACUUAAACAUUUAGAUCCUGAACGACCUUGUGUGUCCUUGCUUGAACGGCCAUUUGUAUCAGUUAGUGGGACUGAAGGCAAAGGAUUAUAAUGAAAUUUAUUUUGAAUUAUUGAUAAUUACGUGAUUCUCAAACCAGAAACCCUGGAUGACCAGCCAGAUCCGCACACUUCUCAAAGCCCGGGAUGCUGCCUUCAGGUCGGGCGGCUGAGUUCUGUACAGGUCUGCUCAACCCGAUCUGAAAGAAGCUAAGACGGACCAUAAAAGUAGCAUAGAGUCCCACCUGUCCAGCAACAACACACGGGGGGUGUGGUUGGGCAUGCAAGACAUCCUAAACCACAGAGGCUGCACUGUGAAAACAGGAAACUUAAGUGCGCCACUGCUGAAGGAGAUAAACACUGGAAGCAGAAGUACUGAGCAUCUCCAUCAUAGUCAGCAUUGGCAGUGAAAACAGAGAAGCAGGAAAGGAGGAGGGCUGAAACUGCACGUCAGAGGUGAUUUCACAAUUGUACUGAUGCUGUUGCGUGUAUAAAGAACGAUCAGCAGCUUUCAGCCAGCCAAACGCCGUCUAUACACACGAGGAAGAGAUGGAGACUAUGAAGACUCUGCUGAAGGUUUAUCUGCUGCUGCUGAUCGGACCUCCCUUCACUCUGGAACAAUCAGUGGGCCAGUACAUCACCGAGCUCCAGGUGUCUCUGGAUGAAGCUGAAGAGACGUAGCUUAGCAGUCAAGGUUUCAUCAAAAUCGAUGUUGAUCUGAACAAAGGAGCUGAAGGAAAAUACAUCUACCUUUGGUACAAAAAAGGCAGCAGCUCACCAAUCACCAGGAUUCAGCUUACAUUCAAUGAUGGCAUGAGCAGGGGUCUGAUCACUGCAGGUUACCAGAAGAUUAACAAGAACCUCAAUGCCGGAACAAGUGGAGACUACAUCUACCUGUGGUACUACAGAGGUAACUCAGAGUACGAUGUUCCCAUUGUGAACCUUCAUGUCUCUAUAGAAGCAAGAGAGGAAGCCCAGAUGUUUGUAUUUGGAUGGGAGA
This is a long non-coding RNA of Oreochromis aureus, 1829 nucleotides long. RefSeq lists it as uncharacterized. Lineage: Eukaryota; Metazoa; Chordata; Actinopteri; Cichliformes; Cichlidae. The record is from RefSeq and is a predicted model, not a curated record. The transcript has 4 exons.